This 422-nucleotide unclassified non-coding RNA is filed under the name Hevea brasiliensis (rubber tree). The record is from RNAcentral. Lineage: Eukaryota; Viridiplantae; Streptophyta; Magnoliopsida; Malpighiales; Euphorbiaceae.
GUACUUCUAUGUCUCUGUUUCUUAGUGCUGUGGUCUGGCUUCUUGGUAGUUUUGAGCUACCAAAAAUAGAUGUAGAUUGGACCCAAGACGGUCUUGAUUAGGCUGAGGCCUUAAUAUCUUUAUUAAUCAGUUGCUUAUAAAACCUUUAUCAAUGACACAGUAGUAUGAUUUAAUCCUUUAUUUCUUAGUGGCUUUGAAUUGGAAAAUUUUGUAAAUGAAAACCAAAAUGAUCAUUAAGUGCUCUUUUCUUUUAUGAUGAUUCCCAUCCUAGAAUAAAUUUUUGUACUUUAUAGUUAGCAUAGUGUAACGGUAAAGUUUCUCGUGACCUGGAGGUCACAGAUUCGAAUCACGGAAACAAUCUCUUUGCAAAGCAGGGUUAAGGCUGCUGCAUCAACCCUCCCUAGAGCCCAUAAUUGUCAGAU